Tachysurus vachellii is the source of this 626-nucleotide long non-coding RNA. RefSeq lists it as uncharacterized. The record is from RefSeq and is a predicted model, not a curated record. The transcript has 2 exons. NCBI's taxonomy places the organism in Eukaryota, Metazoa, Chordata, Actinopteri, Siluriformes, Bagridae.
UGUGUUUGUGUCUUUCCUGUGAACAGAGUUGAAUUUGAUGUACAUGUCCUUCCUGUCUAAUAAGGAAGGGCUGAUUCAGCCUUGGGGUCAGUGUAUAUGCAGAAUAUUCUCCCCAGCUUGGUGAUGCAGAUGUAUAGAACUUAAUGUAACCUCUUUUAAUUCUGCAGAUAUAAUUGCUCUCUCAUUUUUCAGCCAUGCUUCUAACCUCAACAGAGGUUUUUUUUUGCUAUGCUCUUCCCCAUAUCCUUAUCUGUGGUUAGCAUGUGUUCAGGGCAGGCAGGGCCUCCUCUGCACUUCCCCGAUUAAGCUUCCGAGUCCAAGAGAAGAGGACAGACAGGUGCUUUCACACCCACAUUUACUCAGGACUCACACAGACUCAAAAUACAUUAAAGAAACAUGCCAGAAUUCGUCAACCUGACCUAUGACCUUACUCAGUGGGAGGAAUCUUUGGUUAUGUGGUUAAGCAGUUGUGUGUCUGUUAACACAACCCACAUGGAUAACACACAACCUAGAAUUCAUGAAGUUAGACAAAAGUACUUUAGUAAGACCUUCUAUUAUGCCUAACAGGCUUUUUGUUCUUUUCUAACUACCAAGAAAUGUCAAAUAAACACUUGAUUGUUAUCUGA